This 72-nucleotide transfer RNA is filed under the name Ictidomys tridecemlineatus (thirteen-lined ground squirrel). Its description in RNAcentral is "Spermophilus tridecemlineatus (thirteen-lined ground squirrel) tRNA". It matches the Rfam family "tRNA". From Rfam's summary of the family: Transfer RNA (tRNA) molecules are approximately 80 nucleotides in length. The record is from Rfam by way of RNAcentral. Lineage: Eukaryota; Metazoa; Chordata; Mammalia; Rodentia; Sciuridae.
UGGGUUGUAGCUCAGUGGUAAAGUGUUUGCCUAGCACACAUGAGGCACUGGGUUCGAUCCCCAGCACCACGU